GAAAAAAUAACACUGCCCUUUUAUGCUAUACUGUGAAUGAAUAUGACAGAUUAAGGUCAAAACAAUUAACCUAAGACUGCUAAAACAAGCAUGCUAAAUUUGGUCAGUUUAGUCAGGUUAAUUUUCAUUGCAGAGAACAAGCUUUGAUUUAAGCAGUUAAAAAGAGUCUGAUGGCCAUAAAUAAUAGUUCAAAUCCAUGCAUGGCCAAAUGAUAAAAAUAAUAACGGUGUCUGAAAAUUCAGUGAUUUGGAUGUAAGUUUUGUCUCAGUAAGUCUUUAGUUAAACCUUUUUCCAUGAUUAUUGGCAGAAAAAUGACUUAAGGUUCAGGAGACUAGUCUAUGUUUUGAAAAAUACAUAAAUUUGUCAAAUGGCUGAGACUAAAAAGUGACUGAAAGACUACUUUUGUUCCACAGAGAAUACCUAUGUAUUCCCUUCAUGUCAAUAAAUGUCCAUCUUCCACCCUGUUUAGCUAUAAAUAAAAAUAGUAGUUAACUUUUGACUAUGUACCACCUGCAGUACUCAGGUGUUACCACCAUGUUUUAGUAGUCAGCGUCUCCUUCUCAUGUCAUCAGGGAGUGCCCAUCAGAAAAUUGCUCGCUGCCUUGUUUCACAUUACCAGUUUAAUUAGCUAAUGAGAAACACCUUGCAAACCAUACAAUAUAAGCUUCUUCUAAUGUUGUACUCCCCUUUACUAUUCCUCUCCAGACCUGUUCACUGAGGGCUACCUUUCUCGUGGUCAGCAGAUUUGCUAAUUCUAAGGCAGUGUUUACUGCUUACAGCUAUUGGGAUGGUAAAAAGGAGACAAUUUGAUGCAAAAAAACAGGUUGUGUUGUCCCUGUUCCUGAGCCAGAAACUCCCUGGGAGUCUUUCUACUGGUUGCGCUUGACCUGCUCGCAAGUGAGCACUUGUGAUCUUCAAAGGCACUUACCUGAGAUCUUGAAGUUAAGAGUCUAGACUCCCAGUAGCCCUUCUCUAAUCCUAAAACAGAAAAGAAAUUCCAGUCAAAAUCUGAAAACCUGUGCAAAGUGGAUGGACCCUCUUCAUGAUGUACUGUCAGAGUUUGGUUUCUGUGUGAAAACUUUCACCCAGAGCUGUAAAAACCCCCAAAAGGAGCUGGGCAUAGAACUCUCAUAUUUUUCUAAUAAAUUGCUGUUUGUCUGCUGA
Columba livia (rock pigeon) is the source of this 1164-nucleotide long non-coding RNA. RefSeq lists it as uncharacterized. The transcript has 3 exons. The record is from RefSeq and is a predicted model, not a curated record. Lineage: Eukaryota; Metazoa; Chordata; Aves; Columbiformes; Columbidae.